Non-coding RNA from Gasterosteus aculeatus aculeatus (three-spined stickleback), 250 nucleotides. NCBI's taxonomy places the organism in Eukaryota, Metazoa, Chordata, Actinopteri, Perciformes, Gasterosteidae. The record is from RefSeq and is a predicted model, not a curated record.
AAGCGUGAAUUAAUAGAGAAAAUAAACCAACAGCAAUCAAACUUUCUUCAUGUGGAUUUCAGGCAAAAUUUAAAAAUACGGUUUUAAAGUUCAAGACGUUUGAGAGAAUGAAGUCGAUCGUUAACUCGUCCGUAAACAUUUAUUCAAAUAAUCGGAUCAUUUUUCAUUAUGAAAAAACAAAAACCAACAUUCUGAUAUUUUUCUUGAGGUUCAUGUUUUUUACACGUUAUAAGUUGAAAGGAGUUUGUAA